Molecule: long non-coding RNA, 2636 nt
Filed under: Sus scrofa (pig)
Lineage: Eukaryota; Metazoa; Chordata; Mammalia; Artiodactyla; Suidae
Description: lncRNA (ENSSSCG00005027741.1)
Source: RNAcentral
AAAAAGAGAAAAUAAAGCAAAGAAAUAAAUGUCAUUAAAAAAGAACCAGCUGGAAAUUAUAGCUGGAAAAAUAUAAUAACUGAAUAUAAAACUCUAUCAAUGGGCCUAAGAGUAGAUUGGAGAUGGAAGGUGAUAAAAAUCAGUAAAUUGGGGGCAGAUCAGUAGAAUUUAUCCAAGCUGAACAUCAGGGAGAAAACAGGCUCUCAGAAACCUGUGAGAUAAUAACAAAAGAGCUAACGUUUAUAUCACUGAACUCCUAGGAGAAGAGAAAGCGGGACUGGAAAGUAUUAGAAGAAAUAAUGGCCAAAAACUUCCCAAAGUUGGCAAAGGAUGGAAACUUAAAGAUUCAAGAAGACAAGUCAAAUCUAAAUACGAUAAAUGAAAAAAAAAAUUCAUUCUAAGACACAUCAUAAUUCAAAAUUUGAAAACAAAGACAAAGGAAAAGAAUCUUCAAAUAUGGAGCCAGUGAUGGUGUUCACCUGUUUAAACACCCCAUCUUCCCCUGCGCCUAUGAUCCAGAACUAGGUUUAAUAAUGCAAGUUCCGCACUCCUACCCUUCAGUGCUCUUUAGGAUACCAGAGGUCCAGCCCCACCAACAGCCAUGGCUUGUUCAGCCCCCAGCCAUAAGGCUGUGCCUGGGUUCUCUCACCUCUCUGGUUUGAGCUAAGCUGUAAAUUGGACAGCAGGACAACUUUUUAGAGCCUCCUUUUAUACAUAAGGAGACCCCAUCCCUUCCACUUAUUCAAGCAGUAACCCAGGCUCUAGUUGCUGCCUCCCCAACCUAUCACUUACAUGAAACUUUUUAGGUUGCCUUUACUAGGGAGGAGACAAAAUCCUACAGCCUCUGUCUUCUCUCCCUGGAGCCCAAGAGACCUUGAAUCCACUCACCACUGUUCAUUUCUGCUCCACUUCUGGCUCAUGAAUAUGUUUAUUUGAGUAUAUACCUAACUUAUUCAUGUAUUCAGUCACUUUCUUAGUGAACAAAUAUUUAACGAAUACAUGAUAUGUGGUUAAUAUUCGGAGGGGAAGAGCAUACACCAAAGACCUAGAUUCUGUUCUAAAGACACUUAGACUCUAACUAGUAGGAGAGAGAACAUAGGUACACUCAUAAAAAGCCAGCAUUUUAUAGUGCUUGCUAUAUAUGAAGCACUUUGCAUGGGUUAACUUAUUCAACACCCGUAAUGACACUGUGAGUGAGUGCUUUUAUUAUACUCUAUUAUUUUUUCUGACCUUGAAGAAGGCUGAUGUAGAGUGACUAACUCACCCAAGGUGACACAUCUUGUUUAUGGAGGAUUCAGGAUGCAGGCCAGCAAAAGGAAAUCAGCUUGAGGCUGGACAAUUAAGGGCCAGUGCACUUGGUUGUGAUGCAGAUUUCUGAAGGACUUAGAGCAGGGGCAAGAUCAAAUAUUAAGAUCAGUUAGUUUUCAGCUAACUGGCAGGGCGGGUCAGAGUAGGAGAGCCUCUAGUGGGGAGACUAUGAGACAGUGGGGGCCCAGGAAGCAUGCUGGCCAUGAGAAUGGACCAGAAAGCACAUAAUAACAGCAUCUAGUGACAGAUUAGAAAUAGCUGUGAAGAGGAUAAAAGGAUGUUAAAAAUCAAAGGAUGAUGAAUCUCUCUGAACCACAUAUGUUGAGGGAGAUGUGAGCUUUGUCAGGGUUUGGCCUUUACUAGUUGUGUGUACUUUUGGCAUGUCACUUUUCCUUUUAAUCUUUUUUUCUGUUUUGACAUGAAAGGCUAUUGGAUAAGAGCCUUUAAAGUAGAGCUACCAUGCUUUAUUGGAUUUGUUUUUUUAAAAAAUAAACUGAUAAAGCAUUUUAUAAAAAUUUGAAUUCUGUCAACAUUUGAGCACUGGGAUUACACACAAAUCUGGAUUUCUGGCUUUUCUUGAAAAUCUGGAAGGUCUGGAAAUACCAGCCUCCUGGUGUCACGUGAAAGGAAUGUACUUCACCUUGAGAAGCAGCUGUCUCUCUAGAUGGGUCACCUGCUUCCCGUCCCCACCUCCCUCAGGUUUACUUCAGUCAUAUCAAUCAUAUCAAUCAUAUUGCCUACCUGGGUUCUGUAGAUAUUUCAGUAUCUUUAGCCCUAAACUAGUUGAUUUUCCAGGUUCUUCCAUCUGUAAAUCUUGUGAAUCUGUAAUUCUCAUAUGUACCCUAAGGAGAGGAGGAUGGUAACAGUAAUAGGUUUAUGAGCUUAUCUUGUGCACUAUAUUCUAAGUGCUUUGCCUAUAUGAUUUCAUUUAAUCCUCAAAACCCUCCUUUGGCAUCAGUAUUAAUUUUCAUUAUUACCAUGUUAUGAGUAAGGAAUAAAUGCCUAGGACAGCAACCAUGUCCAAGGUCAUCCAGUGGCUAAGUGGUAAGUUAGGAUUUGAACCCAACAGUCUGACUUCAUACCUAUUGCUUCUAAAUUAUGCAGCUCUGAAAUUUGAAGGUCAAUGAAUUUUGGGUAAAGGCCAGUUGGUUUUCAGUGUAUGAGAGGUACCAUGAUGGCCAUGAAGGGGAUGAAGACGAUCCUGAUACUUGCUACCCUAGACAGAAGAGUAAGAACUCUCAGCCCUUGUAAUUCUUCACACCACCUGUUAAACCACUGGAAGAGAACCAAUGUCGUCCUAGUGGUAAUGAAGCGUUAAGAGCUGGAAU